RNAcentral lists this long non-coding RNA (209 nucleotides) under Olea europaea (common olive). Its description in RNAcentral is "long non-coding RNA (OEUR_LNC012756)". The record is from RNAcentral. Lineage: Eukaryota; Viridiplantae; Streptophyta; Magnoliopsida; Lamiales; Oleaceae.
GGGAAUGUUAAUAUCUCGGGACUAAAGGGAGUGUUGGGACUGAAUCUUGUCGUCCCUUUGUUGCCCUGAAGUAGGCCCGCCGUAAUUCCUUCUUGAAUAAUCCUAGCGAGUUCCCCGGACUCCAUGGUCACUGAUCUCGAGGCCGAGGUCACAUGUGGUAUACCCGAGGCCCCUGCUCCACCAUUGUCAGGGACAUGUUUUUGAGCUCG